This 1871-nucleotide long non-coding RNA is filed under the name Sus scrofa (pig). RNAcentral describes it as "lncRNA (ENSSSCG00065053111.1)". Lineage: Eukaryota; Metazoa; Chordata; Mammalia; Artiodactyla; Suidae. The record is from RNAcentral.
CUGCCCAUUGUGAAAUGUAUCAUAUCUAAGUCUAGUCUUUUAAUGAUUUUUAUUUUUUCCAUUAUAGAUGAUUUAUAGUGUUCUGUCAAUUUCUACUGUACAGCAAAGAGACCCAGUCAUAUAUACACACACACAUAUUCUUUAUCUCACAUUUUCCUCUAUCAUGUUCCAUCAUAAGUGACUAGAUAUAGUUCCCUAUGCUAUACAGCAGGAUCUCAUUACAUAUCCAUUCCAAAGGCAGUAGUUUGCAUCUAUUAACCCCAGAUUCCCAGUCCAUCCCACGCCCUUCUCCUCCCACUUGGCAAACACAAGUCUAUUCUCCAAGUCCAUGAUUUUCUUUUCUGUGGAAAGGUUCAUUUGUGCCAUAUAUUAGAUUACAGAUAUAAGUGAUGUUACGUGGUAUUUGUCUUUCUGACUUACUUCACUUAGUAUGAGAAUUUCUAGUUCCAUCCAUGUUGCUGCAAAUGGCAUUAUUUUUCUUUUUAUGGGUGAGUAGUAUUCCAUUGUGUAUAUAUACCAUCUCUUCUUAACCCAUUCAUCUGUAGAUGGAUAUUUAGGUUGUCUCCAUGUCUUCGCUAUUUGUGAAUAGGGCUGCAGUGAACAUACGGGUGCAUGUGCCUUUUUUAAGUAGAGUUUUGUCUGGAUAUUUGCCCAAGAGUGGAAUUACUUUCUCUUCAUAUAUUAGUUUUUGUAUUUGUUUUUAUUUUUGCCACUUGGCAACUCUUGCACUGUAUUUAGUGUUUGUUCGAUGUAGCUUUAACUGCUAGAGCCUUCAAACUCCUGUAGGUUUUUUUUUGUUGUUGUUGUUGUUGUGGUUUAACUGGGGGCCAGACUUUCCUCUCUUGGAUUUGGAAUUAUCUAAGUAUUCCUUCUCAGUGAUAGAUAGCCUGUGUCCUGCAGCUCUUUCAUCAGUAAACCACUGUUAUCACUGGCACCUCACCAGUGUGGUGGUGCAGUGAGGAAGGAGUGAGAACAUUUUAUAAUAUUCUAAUUAAGUUUUAGCCUUUAGACAACCUGUUUUCUGGGCUGUUACCUUUACAAGUCUUUUUCUAGAAGUAUGGCUUCUCGCCCCCUCAUCCUCUACUCCUUUCUUUGGCUAUAGCAUUCUAUUUUUUUUUUAAUAAUUUUUUUUAUUUUCCCACUGUACAGCAAGGGGGUCAGGUUAUCCUUACAUGUAUACAUUGCAAUUACAGUUUUUUCCCCCACCCUUUCUUCUGUUGCGACAUGAGUAUCUAGACAUAGUUCUCAAUGCUAUUCAGCAGGAUCUCCUUAUAAAUCUAUUCUAGGUUGUGUCUGAUAAGCCCAAGCUCCCGAUCCCUCCCACUCCCUCCCCCUCCCAUCAGGCAACCACAAGUCUCUUCUCCAAGUCCAUGAUUUUCUUUUCUGAGGAGAUGUUCAUUUGUGCUGGAUAUUAGAUUCCAGUUAUAAGUGAUAUCAUACUAAAUCUAUAUCUUUGACACACUGGCCCCUGUUCAUUGUGUGUCUUUGUGGAUGUGUUUCCCAUCUUAGGUAAGGUAGGAAGACUAGAAGAGUCUCCUAAGGCAGGAGGGAUUUCCUGCACUCAGAUAGGAUGAUACACUGGGAAAAAGACGCCUUCUGGGGAGUUCCCACUGUGGUGCAGUGGAAACAAACUCAACCAGUGUCCGUGAGAAUGUGGGUUCGAUCCCCUACCUUACUCAGUGGGUUAAGGAUUCAGGCAUUGCUGUUAGCUCUGCUAUAUGUUGCAGACACAGCUUGGAUCUGGCAUGGCUGUGGCUGUGGCCAGAGGCUAUAGCUCCAAUUCAGUCCCUAGACUGGAAACUUGCAUAUGCUGUGGGUUUGGGCCUAAAACAAACCACCAACCAAAAAACAAAAACAAAAAACAAAAAAAA